This 233-nucleotide unclassified non-coding RNA is filed under the name Hevea brasiliensis (rubber tree). The record is from RNAcentral. Lineage: Eukaryota; Viridiplantae; Streptophyta; Magnoliopsida; Malpighiales; Euphorbiaceae.
GAGAGAGAGAGAGAGAGAGAACAGCAUUCCAUUAGGUAAGCAACAUAGAAGAUAAACUGGUAGUCUCAAGUUACGCAACUAUCAGGUAUAUUCCAUGCUUUUAAAAUAAAAAAGCAAAUGAUAUGACAAUUUGCUUCUCAUUAUUUUUUACUCCAUUCAAAUCCAUGACUAGCAUCUUUCACAGAAACAAAGCAACCAUUUAAAGCAAAAUAUCACUGAAAACACCAACAUAC